Molecule: transfer RNA, 67 nt
Filed under: Barbourion lemaii
Lineage: Eukaryota; Metazoa; Arthropoda; Insecta; Lepidoptera; Sphingidae
Description: tRNA-Arg
Source: RNAcentral
AAAUAAGAAGCAAAAUAUUUUGCAUUUAAUUUCGACUUAAAAAUUAGGGUAUUUAACCCCUUAUUUA